UUCUGGCUCAGGAUGAACGCUAGCUACAGGCUUAACACAUGCAAGUCGAGGGGCAGCAUUGGAGUAGCAAUACUUCAGAUGGCGACCGGCGCACGGGUGAGUAACACGUAUCCAACCUGCCGCUUACUCGGGGAUAGCCUUUUCGAAAGAAAGAUUAAUACCCGAUGGUAUAAAGAGUUCGCAUGUUCUCUUUAUUAAAGAAUUUCGGUAAGCGAUGGGGAUGCGUUCCAUUAGAUAGUUGGCGGGGUAACGGCCCACCAAGUCUACGAUGGAUAGGGGUUCUGAGAGGAAGGUCCCCCACAUUGGAACUGAGACACGGUCCAAACUCCUACGGGAGGCAGCAGUGAGGAAUAUUGGUCAAUGGACGAGAGUCUGAACCAGCCAAGUAGCGUGAAGGAUGACUGCCCUAUGGGUUGUAAACUUCUUUUAUAAGGGAAUAAAGUGAGGGACGUGUCCCUUUUUGUAUGUACCUUAUGAAUAAGGAUCGGCUAACUCCGUGCCAGCAGCGGC
RNAcentral lists this ribosomal RNA (510 nucleotides) under uncultured bacterium. RNAcentral describes it as "bacterial SSU rRNA". It matches the Rfam family "Bacterial small subunit ribosomal RNA", at positions 17 to 518 of the family's 1533-position model. The record is from RNAcentral.